Molecule: ribosomal RNA, 271 nt
Filed under: Calanus glacialis
Lineage: Eukaryota; Metazoa; Arthropoda; Copepoda; Calanoida; Calanidae
Description: partial 16S ribosomal RNA
Source: RNAcentral
GCCGCGUUAGUGUUAAGGUAGCAUAGUAAUUAGUUUCUUAAUUGGGAAAUGGAAUGAAUGGUUUCACUAAAAUAUGAUAUUUAUUCUAAUUUGCGAAAUUUUAAUCUGAGUGAAAAUACUCAGAAGAUAUAUUUAGACGAGAAGACCCUAUGAAGCUGGUAGACUUCCAAUGUAAUUAUACGAUAGUUCAUGAGUUUAUUUUUUGGGGGAAAAUUUAAUAAUAGUAUUAAUAUUGGCUUACUAAAUAAUAUCCUCUUGGAAUUAGGAAAAA